ACGAACGCUGGCGGCGUGCUUAACACAUGCAAGUCGAACGGAAAGGCCCUGCUUUUGUGGGGUGCUCGAGUGGCGAACGGGUGAGUAACACGUGAGUAACCUGCCCUUGACUUUGGGAUAACUUCAGGAAACUGGGGCUAAUACCGUAUAGGAGCUCCUGCUGCAUGGUGGGGGUUGGAAAGUUUCGGCGGUUGGGGAUGGACUCGCGGCUUAUCAGCUUGUUGGUGGGGUAGUGGCUUACCAAGGCUUUGACGGGUAGCCGGCCUGAGAGGGUGACCGGCCACAUUGGGACUGAGAUACGGCCCAGACUCCUACGGGAGGCAGCAGUGGGGAAUAUUGCACAAUGGGCGGAAGCCUGAUGCAGCAACGCCGCGUGCGGGAUGACGGCCUUCGGGUUGUAAACCGCUUUCGCCUGUGACGAAGCGUGAGUGACGGUAAUGGGUAAAGAAGCACCGGCUAACUACGUG
RNAcentral lists this ribosomal RNA (467 nucleotides) under uncultured bacterium. Its description in RNAcentral is "partial 16S ribosomal RNA". It matches the Rfam family "Bacterial small subunit ribosomal RNA", at positions 29 to 507 of the family's 1533-position model. The record is from RNAcentral.